Capsicum annuum is the source of this 848-nucleotide long non-coding RNA. RefSeq lists it as uncharacterized. NCBI's taxonomy places the organism in Eukaryota, Viridiplantae, Streptophyta, Magnoliopsida, Solanales, Solanaceae. The record is from RefSeq and is a predicted model, not a curated record. The transcript is spliced from 2 exons.
AAAAAACACUCCUCUUAUAUACUCCCUUAUCUCACCGUUUUCCUCACUCUAUUAUACUUUUAUUAAAUUUCUUUUCUUGUUACUUGUAGUCUUUAUUAAUCUCCUUAUUUAACUUGUUAGUUUAUAAUUAAUUUUGUUGAUUUCAGCUGUAUCAUUUUUUUAAUUAAGGAAAACUUAUUUAAUUUUGGAUAUCCUCUAAUUAAUCAGGGAUAUCCUCUAAUUAAUCAGGGAAGUACUUUUUUAAUCCUGGAAAAACAUUUCACAUUGCGGAAAUAGUUUCUUAGGACAGUGUCUAUCACGACUCAAGUAAUUUAUAUAAAAUAUUAUAACCGUAAUUUUUUUUAUUUUUUUUUUUUAUUAUUAUUAUUAUUAUUAUUAUUAUUAUUAUUACCAUUAUUAUUGUUGUUGUUAUUAUUAUUAUUAUAACUUGUUGAUAUUAUAAUAUAAAAUUAUUAUCAUUAUUGCAAUUUAUUUCGCAGUUGAUAUUAAAAUUUAUUAUUAUUUUCCAACAGCUUCAAACCCACAUCUCGGGUAAAGACUUUGCAUGCAAACCGACACCACUAAGCCAAUUAUCACAUUUGCAUAUGAACUAAAUAAGGUCUUGGCAAGAUAAAGGGUCUGAAUCACAUUGAGGAAGAUGAAGGAAGCCUAUAAAAAAUCAUGAGUCAUAUAUGAGGAAACCCAACUUGGGGACUAGAGAUCCUAUAACUAGGUUCAAUGAAAGAACGAAUCAUAUGAUGACUUGGUGUGGAUGCAUUAUUGUUUUAUCCCUUUGAGUGCAUUUUUUUCUUGUAAUGAUUUGGGAAGAUUGAGUCUAAAGAACUCUUAAUGAAAUUUUGUAUCUCUUA